GAUGAAGAACGAAGCGAAAUGCGAUAAGUAAUGUGAAUUGCAGAAUUCAGUGAAUCAUCGAAUCUUUGAACGCACAUUGCGCCCCUUGGUAUUCCGAGGGGCAUGCCUGUUCGAGCGUCAUUAUAACCCUCAAGCUCAGCUUGGUGUUGGGGCCUGCUGCAGUGGCAGCCCUUAAAAUCAGUGGCGGCGCCAUCUGGCUCUAAGCGUAGUAAUUCUUCUCGCUAUGGAGUCCUGGUGGAUGCUUGCCAUCAACCCCCAAUUUUUCUAUGGUUGACCUCGGAUCAGGUAGGGAUACCCGCUGAACUUAAGCAUAUCAAUAAGCGGAGGA
Molecule: unclassified non-coding RNA, 328 nt
Filed under: soil metagenome
Description: partial contains 5.8S ribosomal RNA, internal transcribed spacer 2, and large subunit ribosomal RNA
Rfam family: 5.8S ribosomal RNA (bases 1-120)
Source: RNAcentral